GACGAACGCUGGCGGCGUGCUUAACACAUGCAAGUCGAACGGAAAGGCCCUUCGGGGUCCUCGAGUGGCGAACGGGUGAGUAACACGUGGGUGAUCUGCCCUGCACUUUGGGAUAAGCCUGGGAAACUGGGUCUAAUACCGAAUAGGACCACGCGCUUCAUGGUGUGUGGUGGAAAGCUUUUGCGGUGUGGGAUGGGCCCGCGGCCUAUCAGCUUGUUGGUGGGGUAAUGGCCUACCAAGGCGACGACGGGUAGCCGGCCUGAGAGGGUGACCGGCCACACUGGGACUGAGAUACGGCCCAGACUCCUACGGGAGGCAGCAGUGGGGAAUAUUGCACAAUGGGCGCAAGCCUGAUGCAGCGACGCCGCGUGAGGGAUGACGGCCUUCGGGUUGUAAACCUCUUUCAAUAGGGACGAAGCGCAAGUGACGGUACCUAUAGAAGAAGCACCGGCCAACUACGUG
RNAcentral lists this ribosomal RNA (462 nucleotides) under uncultured bacterium. RNAcentral's name for it is "partial 16S ribosomal RNA". It matches the Rfam family "Bacterial small subunit ribosomal RNA", at positions 28 to 507 of the family's 1533-position model. The record is from RNAcentral.